GGUUCAGUGGUCUAGCGGUUAUGAUUUCUGUCUCACAAGUGCUCCUGCUCGAGUGGUCCACAGAAGGUCCCCGGUUCGAUCCCGGGCUGAACCA
RNAcentral lists this transfer RNA (94 nucleotides) under Coprinellus micaceus. RNAcentral's name for it is "tRNA-Val". It matches the Rfam family "tRNA". From Rfam's summary of the family: Transfer RNA (tRNA) molecules are approximately 80 nucleotides in length. Lineage: Eukaryota; Fungi; Basidiomycota; Agaricomycetes; Agaricales; Psathyrellaceae. The record is from RNAcentral.